GAUCCUGGCUCAGGAUGAACGCUAGCUACAGGCUUAACACAUGCAAGUCGAGGGGCAGCAUUUUAGUUUGCUUGUAAACUAAAGAUGGCGACCGGCGCACGGGUGAGUAACACGUAUCCAACCUGCCGAUAACUCGGGGAUAGCCUUUCGAAAGAAAGAUUAAUAUCCGAUAGUAUAUUAAAACCGCAUGGUUUUACUAUUAAAGAAUUUCGGUUAUCGAUGGGGAUGCGUUCCAUUAGUUUGUUGGCGGGGUAACGGCCCACCAAG
RNAcentral lists this ribosomal RNA (267 nucleotides) under uncultured bacterium. RNAcentral's name for it is "partial 16S ribosomal RNA". It matches the Rfam family "Bacterial small subunit ribosomal RNA", at positions 15 to 272 of the family's 1533-position model. The record is from RNAcentral.